ACAUUGUCUGCCAAGUCUUUUUCAUUCGAUACUUGCAAGUUGCAACAAAACUUACAAUUCUUUGUUGCAUAUUAUCCCAAUUGACAUUUGCCUAACUAUGUUACUCAUUCUUUUCUUUUCUUUCAGAUUCAAGGACCGUAAUGGCCAUUAUUGGACCUGCUGAAAUGGUUGAUGAUGUAACAGGUGGACUGAAGCUUUUGUAGGGACUGAUUCAUUAGGGUUGGUAUCUAUCUGACUGGUACGGGCGUUACAUUACAUGGUAGAGUUCUGAGAUCUCAGUUUUAUGGCUGAGAGUGUUGCAAAAUCUACUCACUUGAUUGGAGAAUGGGCAGAGGAUCUCGUUGGUGAUGAUGAUGAUGAUGAAAUUUUUUCUAUAUAGACCCAUUAUCAAUGAUGGAAUUAUUCUUUUUGAGUUGAAUAUGAUUGGUGAUAGUGAAACUGAAUCACAUCACCGUUUAAUUUGCAAAUUAGACCAAGUGAUUGGUUUGUUGCUUUGUAAUGAUGCUCCAUUGUCUCUCAACCUGGUGACAUCUUUUGAGUUGUUUUUGCACCAUGAAUGCAACAGUGACUUUUGUACUCUA
Non-coding RNA from Camellia sinensis, 581 nucleotides. The record is from RefSeq and is a predicted model, not a curated record. NCBI's taxonomy places the organism in Eukaryota, Viridiplantae, Streptophyta, Magnoliopsida, Ericales, Theaceae.